This 496-nucleotide ribosomal RNA is filed under the name Acarospora scabrida. RNAcentral describes it as "Myriospora scabrida SSU rRNA". The stretch from base 1 to 437 matches the Rfam family "Bacterial small subunit ribosomal RNA", at positions 406 to 873 of the family's 1533-position model. Lineage: Eukaryota; Fungi; Ascomycota; Lecanoromycetes; Acarosporales; Acarosporaceae. The record is from RNAcentral.
UGUUGUUUACUAUUAGUUAAUGCAGAUCUAUAAAUAAGGAAUAAAGUUCUAGGUAGAAUAAUGAUUAUGACCAUCUUCAAACUAUAUGUCUUGACCAAAUCUCGUGCCAGCAGUCGCGGUAAUACGUGGAAGACUAGUGUUAUUCAUCUUUCAAAGGUUUAAAGGGUACCAAAACGGUUUUUCUAGCCCUAAACAGGGGACCUAUUGACUACAGUUCUAUGUGAGGAGGGGAGUACUUAUGGAGUAAAGAUUAAAUUUUCUUUUACUAAAAAGAAACUGGUGGCGGCAAAACCUUCCUUCUAUGUAUAAACUGACACUGAGGGACGAAGGCUUGUGUACCAACUAGGAUUACAUACCCUAUUAUUCCUAGCAAACAAUCCUGAAUGCCUUACAUUAAAUUAUUUUUGUUCUAUAAAUGAAAGUGUCGCAUUCUCUCCUCAAAAUUAUUGUGGCUCACAAGAACUGAAAUCAUUAUUCCGUUUCUGAUUCCGCUAUA